This 66-nucleotide transfer RNA is filed under the name Boa imperator. RNAcentral describes it as "transfer RNA-Ile". Lineage: Eukaryota; Metazoa; Chordata; Lepidosauria; Squamata; Boidae. The record is from RNAcentral.
GGAAAUGUGCCCGAGACCAGGGACUACCUUGAUAGCGUAGCAACGGGUGAAACAACCCCAUUUCCU